UAAGGGGGAGGUGGGAGAGGCAUGGACCAUGGGGGCCGCGGACGAGGGUCAGUAGGCGGGAUGCAGGCUUGGGGAAGGGGCAUAAACCUCGAGGGUGGAGUGGGGGUCUGAGUAGGGUGAAGGAUGAGGAAUGAGGGGCCCGAGACAAGGGCUGGUAGGUGGGGCGCAGGCUUUGGGGCGUGGCAAAUGGCGGAGGGCGGGGCGAAGGGUGGGGCUGGCCUUUCCUCUUGAGUCUGGAACUCAGCCCGAGUGACUAAGCGUCCUCUGGUCUGAACCUUCACAUUCCUCUUUCCCCUUGGCCCCUGGGUAACACAGAUGUCAAAAUCUUAAGCCUAAUACAUCAGAAUGUGACUGUUUGGAGACAGGAUUUUUGCAGAUGUCAAGACUGAGGCAUUGGAGUUAGCUGCUGUCCUCGUAAGAAGGGGAGUUAGGGAUGGCGGACCCCAGAGAUGUACCUUCAACCCUGCAGAUGGAACCAGCAGAAACUGAGUGCCCCCACCAGCACCAGAGCACCAAGCAGACCAGGAGAGCAAGGGAAGGACUCUGGGGACACAGCCAGCAUUGGAACAAGAGGCCACGGAGUCAAGCCAGACUGUUCAUGUGACAUACAUCCGCACACUGGCAUUAGCAGCUGCCUGCUAACGUAGAAGAUUUAAAUAGAACCAGGAGUCUCCAAACGGAAUAACCUAAAUGUCCGGCAUACAUUUGAAAAAGACCGCUUAUCAUUCCAAGAACAUUCACAACGUGAAUGUAAAAAGGCUGCUCACUGAAGUGGAUGCCAAGAUGAGCCAUCUGCCAAGGACUUGUCGACAGCCAUGAAAAUCGCUUUCAGAAGUAAUUACAAGAAGAAGUGAUUACAAACUCGUUUAAAAUUGAAAAAAAAAAAGAUUAAGUUAGCAACAAAAAAGAAAUUGUAAAGCGCCAAAUGGAAAUUAUAGAAUUUGAGAAAACAACCAGAAUAACACUGUCCAUCAUUAGAAGGACAUAGUGGUAGACUGGAGAUGGAGUGCUAGGACUUGCUUGGAUCUGAAACACAAAGAAAAUAGUACAAAGUGUGAACCUAAGCCAAGUUUGGUGGUGCAUGCCUGAAAUUGUAGCACUGAGGAGGCUGAUGCAGAAGGAUGGAAGGUUCUGGGCUGUAUGGUAUGAUCCUGUCACAUAAAAUAAAAUAAAAUUAAAACUC
Peromyscus eremicus (cactus mouse) is the source of this 1183-nucleotide long non-coding RNA. RefSeq lists it as uncharacterized. The record is from RefSeq and is a predicted model, not a curated record. NCBI's taxonomy places the organism in Eukaryota, Metazoa, Chordata, Mammalia, Rodentia, Cricetidae. The transcript has 3 exons.